RNAcentral lists this transfer RNA (77 nucleotides) under Hyphomicrobium sp. RNAcentral describes it as "tRNA-Met". It matches the Rfam family "tRNA". Rfam says of the family: Transfer RNA (tRNA) molecules are approximately 80 nucleotides in length. Their secondary structure includes four short double-helical elements and three loops (D, anti-codon, and T loops). Further hydrogen bonds mediate the characteristic L-shaped molecular structure. tRNAs have two regions of fundamental functional importance: the anti-codon, which is responsible for specific mRNA codon recognition, and the 3' end, to which the tRNAs corresponding amino acid is attached (by aminoacyl-tRNA synthetases). tRNAs cope with the degeneracy of the genetic code in two manners: having more than one tRNA (with a specific anti-codon) for a particular amino acid; and 'wobble' base-pairing, i.e. permitting non-standard base-pairing at the 3rd anti-codon position. Lineage: Bacteria; Pseudomonadati; Pseudomonadota; Alphaproteobacteria; Hyphomicrobiales; Hyphomicrobiaceae. RNAcentral also lists the same sequence under 680 other names. The record is from RNAcentral.
CGCGGGGUGGAGCAGCCCGGUAGCUCGUCAGGCUCAUAACCUGAAGGUCGCAGGUUCAAAUCCUGCCCCCGCAACCA